Molecule: ribosomal RNA, 253 nt
Filed under: uncultured bacterium
Lineage: Bacteria
Description: partial 16S ribosomal RNA
Rfam family: Bacterial small subunit ribosomal RNA
Source: RNAcentral
UACGUAGGGGGCAAGCGUUGUCCGGAUUUAUUGGGCGUAAAGCGCGUGUAGGCGGCCAGGUAGGUCCGUUGUGAAAACUCGAGGCUCAACCUCGAGCUGUCGGUGGAAACCACAUGGCUAGAGUCCGGAAGAGGAGAGUGGAAUUCCUGGUGUAGCGGUGAAAUGCGCAGAUAUCAGGAAGAACACCAACGGCGAAAGCACUCUGCUGGGCCGACACUGACACUGAGAGACGAAAGCUAGGGGAGCGAAUGGG